AAGGGGCCAAUAUGCGAGGUGGUUUGCAGUGGGAUCCUGGAAGACCAGGGAUACAGCCUCGGGUCCCCGGACUUUUCUUAAGCAACACCCAAACAGCAUGUGGAGGCGCUGCGUGUCUUAAGUCACCAAAAACGAGAUGAAAGGGCAACUGCUGACUUUUGUUGCCACAUCUGACGUGGCCGAAGUCGAGUCCCGCCCGGUUCUCCUUCGUGACUGCAGGAACUCUCUAUCAAACAAUAUGAAAGGAAACUUUGGACUUCAUGGAGAGAUUAUAUUGAUGAUGGAAUGCAUGAACACAGUUGGAUGUCUGAGGUGGGGAAGGCACCAGCCAGGUGCCCAAGAGCUUGGUGGUGAACAACUCUCUUGCUAACUGUCCGCCUAAGAGCCCUGCCUUUAACAAUAAAGUGCCACGCCCAC
Ochotona curzoniae (black-lipped pika) is the source of this 417-nucleotide long non-coding RNA. RefSeq lists it as uncharacterized. The transcript is spliced from 3 exons. The record is from RefSeq and is a predicted model, not a curated record. Lineage: Eukaryota; Metazoa; Chordata; Mammalia; Lagomorpha; Ochotonidae.